Molecule: long non-coding RNA, 1230 nt
Filed under: Citrus x clementina
Lineage: Eukaryota; Viridiplantae; Streptophyta; Magnoliopsida; Sapindales; Rutaceae
Description: Citrus clementina (C. clementina) long non-coding RNA (CCLE_LNC006601)
Source: RNAcentral
AUCUGAGAGAAAUAAAUUUAAGUACUUAUCCAUAUUUAAGUACUAGAAGAAGAAAUAAAUUACAAAAAGCCAACACUUUAGAGGUUAGGUACAUAAGUGAAAACCAUAAAAAGUUAAAAACAAAACAUGACAAUCUAAUCUAAGUUCAGUGAAUAAGGUAGUGUUUACUUGCUGGAGUGGGAGUGUGGAGUCCUCCCAUUCCAGUGUUUACUUACCUUAAAAAAUGGGGGAGUGGGAUUCCCACUCCCAUGGGGGGAGGUGGGAGUGGGAAUCCACUCCCCCCUCUUCCCAUUUUAUACUUAUAAUUAAAAUUAAAAUAAAUAAUAUCAUAUUUAUUUUAUUAAAUUUAAUAAAAUAAAAAUAAAUAAUUAUUUAUUUAAUUAAUAAUAUAAAACAUUAAUUUUAAUAAAUAUUAAUUAUUUAUUUAAUUAAUAAUAUAAAACAUUAAUUUUAAUAAAUAUUAAUUAUUUAUUUAAUUAAUAAUAAUAAAUAUUUUAUUCUAAAAAAAUAUUAAUUUUGUACUAUAUUAUCAAUAAUAAUAUUUCAUUUGUGUUGCUAUUAUUAAUAAUUUUUAUUCACAUAAUUUAAAUUUAAAUUAAUAAAAAAUUAUGAUUUACAUAAUUAAGAAUAUUAGUAAUUAUUAUUAAUUUAUAAAUAUAAUAAAAUAUUUAUUUUAUUUUCCAAAUAUAUUUUUUAUUAAUUUUUUAAUUACAAAUUAUAAUUCUGUACAUAAGGAUAAAAUUAUAAUUUAAAACAACUUACUCCCAAUCCAAGACAAAGUAAACAAAUAAUUGGGAUUCUAAUUGACAAUUCAUACUUUCAUUUAGUCUAAGUAAACACCCUACUCUCACUCCCACUCCACACUCCUAAUCCAAGGAUUCCCACUCCAAUCCAAAAAGUAAACGCAGCAUAAGAGAAUUCUCAUGGUUCAACUGCAAAGUUGAGCGCUUGGCAAUACUUUAAUAUGGAUCAACAGAAGCCCUAAACAGAACAGUAUUUUUGAUACAGAAGGAUGAAAAUAUGAAGCCAAAAGAAAGUCAACAAGUGAAAUAUAGGGAACAGAAAGAUAAAAAUAUGAAGCCGAAAGAAAGUCAACAAGUGAAAUAUAGGGAAUUUUUUUUUUUUUUCUAUACAUAUUUUCCUUGGUGAAACCUCCGUCCCUUUGUUAUCUGUUUGUUGAUGUAAAUUGAAAAUUAGGACUUGGAAGAUUCAGAGAGAAAGAAUACCAUU